Drosophila biarmipes is the source of this 1000-nucleotide long non-coding RNA. RefSeq lists it as uncharacterized. The transcript is spliced from 2 exons. The record is from RefSeq and is a predicted model, not a curated record. NCBI's taxonomy places the organism in Eukaryota, Metazoa, Arthropoda, Insecta, Diptera, Drosophilidae.
AGUGGAGUCUAAAGUCCAAAUCGCAUCGAGGCCCUAAUUAAAAAAUUGUAUCAAAAAUGGAGAACAACCUCUUUGAAAAAGCUAAGUCCACAAAAAAUGGGUAAUGGUGAAUUCCCAAACGCUCGCAAAAUACCAUGCAAAUUGAAUGAGAAACUUUUAUAUCACCUUCGCUCUGAAUAGUGCAAUUAUCCCCGGAGAACCUUUCUCGCCUUUCGUAAUUUAUUUAUUAAACACUUGCCCAGAAGACGGCAAACAAUUUGUGUAGUCCGUCGGGCGGAGUCACGUAGUAAAUGCAUAAAAAAUCGGCAACCGAAAGAAGUUAAGUGGGGCGCCCCAUGCAUUUAUGCAAACUGUGAGACAUUGUUGCGGGACCUUCUGCCAACAUUAAGCUGUGGUGCGUGUCACACUAAUUUGACCCAAAAGGUCUCAGCCAGCACGAACCUCAUAUAAAACAUUCAAGCGAGAUGGAAUUGCAGGGACCAAAUAUGUAGUUCUCCAAGUCCCGGCUGCCACUUUAAAUAAUUUAUAGAGCGCCGAAACGGGAGAAAUGUGUUGAGUCUGAAUGGGCCACAGUCUCAGGCAGAUUGAGGACUAAUUGCACAAACAGCCAAAUUAAGUCAAUGCCGCAGGGCAAAAACGCACAUCCCUCGAACCGCAAGCUGGCGUCGAAUAUAUCAGUCACUAAUUAAAAUAAAAUUUGAUUUCGUCGCCGAAAUCAUGCUCCUCCUGCGGUCUUCCGCCUUCAAGUGCGCAUGCACCGCAAUCUGGAUAAUUAUUUAUUUUGCUUCCAGCUCUCGAGCUCUGCUGCAAUCCAUAUCCACAUCAGGAAACCACAAUUUCGGUUGGCAUCGAUGCAUUGGGGCAUGAAUUUCCAUCUGUAUGCGUUUCUAAGACAUUGUAAUAACUCUGACAUUUUCGUUUUUCACUGCGGCCUAAGUAAUCUAACCUUAUUUAACGCCAAUUAUAAAACUUUACAUUUUGAUCAUUAUUUUUAAUUCAA